RNAcentral lists this ribosomal RNA (245 nucleotides) under uncultured bacterium. Its description in RNAcentral is "partial 16S ribosomal RNA". It matches the Rfam family "Bacterial small subunit ribosomal RNA", at positions 524 to 769 of the family's 1533-position model. The record is from RNAcentral.
UACAGAGGGUGCAAGCGUUAAUCGGAGUUACUGGGCGUAAAGGGCGCGUAGGUGGAUAUUUAAGUCAAUUGUGAAAUACCCGGGCUUAACCUGGGAAUUGCAGUUGAUACUGGGUAUCUAGAGUAUGGUAGAGGUAAGCGGAAUUCCAGGUGUAGCGGUGAAAUGCGUAGAUAUCUGGAAGAACACCAGUGCGAAGGCGGCUUACUGGACCAAUACUGACACUGAGGCGCGAAAGCAUGGGGAGC